Molecule: ribosomal RNA, 1063 nt
Filed under: unidentified rumen bacterium 30-43
Lineage: Bacteria; Pseudomonadati; Bacteroidota; Bacteroidia; Bacteroidales; Bacteroidaceae
Description: bacterial SSU rRNA
Rfam family: Bacterial small subunit ribosomal RNA
Source: RNAcentral
AGAGUUUGAUCCUGGCUCAGGAUGAACGCUAGCUACAGGCUUAACACAUGCAAGUCGAGGGGCAGCAUGAUCGAAGCUUGCUUUGAUUGAUGGCGACCGGCGCACGGGUGAGUAACGCGUAUCCAACCUUCCCUAUAGUAGAGAAUAGCCCGGCGAAAGUCGGAUUAAUGCUCUAUGUUGUAUUUAGAAGACAUCUGAAGAAUACCAAAGGUUUACCGCUAUAGGAUGGGGAUGCGUCUGAUUAGGUUGUUGGCGGGGUAACGGCCCACCAAGCCUACGAUCAGUAGGGGUUCUGAGAGGAAGGUCCCCCACAUUGGAACUGAGACACGGUCCAAACUCCUACGGGAGGCAGCAGUGAGGAAUAUUGGUCAAUGGACGCAAGUCUGAACCAGCCAAGUAGCGUGCAGGAUGACGGCCCUAUGGGUUGUAAACUGCUUUUAUACAGGGAUAAAGUGAGGGACGUGUCCCUUUUUGUAGGUACUGUAUGAAUAAGGACCGGCUAAUUCCGUGCCAGCAGCCGCGGUAAUACGGAAGGUCCGGGCGUUAUCCGGAUUUAUUGGGUUUAAAGGGAGCGCAGGCGGGUUAUUAAGCGUGUUGUGAAAUGCGGCGGCUCAACCGUCGAAUUGCAGCGCGAACUGGUUACCUUGAGUGAGUACGACGUCAGCGGAAUUCGUGGUGUAGCGGUGAAAUGCUUAGAUAUCACGAAGAACCCCGAUUGCGAAGGCAGCUGACGAGUCCUUAACUGACGCUAAUGCUCGAAAGUGCGGGUAUCGAACAGGAUUAGAUACCCUGGUAGUCCGCACGGUAAACGAUGGAUGCCCGCUGUUUGCGAUAUACUGUGAGCGGCCAAGAGAAAUCGUUAAGCAUCCCACCUGGGGAGUACGCCGGCAACGGANAAACUCAAAGGAAUUGACGGGGGCCCGCACAAGCGGAGGAACAUGUGGUUUAAUUCGAUGAUACGCGAGGAACCUUACCCGGGCUUGAACUGCAGCAGACGGAUCUAGAGAUAGUGAUCUCUCUCGGGGCUGCUGUGGAGGUGCUGCAUGGUUGUCGUCAGCUCGUG